Molecule: transfer RNA, 84 nt
Filed under: Actinoplanes regularis
Lineage: Bacteria; Bacillati; Actinomycetota; Actinomycetes; Micromonosporales; Micromonosporaceae
Description: tRNA-Val
Source: RNAcentral
GGCGGGCUGGCCGAGGCCCGCGACGGGCUGCUGACGCCGGUCCGGGAGGCGUUCGCCCGGCGGGUCACCUUCCACCGCACCCCC